AAAAGGGCACGGGGCAGAGGGACUAUGUUGUGAGCCUGCGAAAGAAGUUUGUGUGGGGACUGUGGGCAGUGAACGCGUUGGGAACAAUAUGGAAAACUGGGAGCCGCCUUGGAAUCUACAGGGCCGGGACCCACUCGAGCCAUCCACACUUGCCCCAGCCUCCUCCAAAACAGCACACUUUCCGGCUGAAGAAAAGAAGAAUGGUAUUCACGCAGUUCCCAUUUUACAGAUGAAAACAAGAGGACUUUUUCUGUGAAGUCAAGAAAGUGGUUACAAUGGUACUUUCAGCCUGUCCGAAUUAUGUAUUGCCCCUCCCCUUUUUAUUAAUAACAUUGAAGUGUGAUGGGACAACCACUGAAGCCGUCAGUUGAAACCUGCUGGGACUUUUUAGCCAUUCUCUUCAACAUAAAGAAUGGGUGUUUUUGGAGGGGGUGAGAGGAAUGGGGAAAUGUUGUCAAAGAGUACAACGUUUUAGUUGAGACAGGAAGAAUAUAUUUUGUUGAGAUCUACAGCACAGCAUGGUGACUGUAGUUAACAAUGAAGUAUUGUCUAUUUCCAAAUUGCUAAGACAAUAAAUUUCAAAUGUUCUCACCACAA
RNAcentral lists this long non-coding RNA (597 nucleotides) under Homo sapiens (human). Its description in RNAcentral is "non-protein coding PGM5P3-AS1:5". The record is from RNAcentral. Lineage: Eukaryota; Metazoa; Chordata; Mammalia; Primates; Hominidae.